Non-coding RNA from Myotis davidii, 75 nucleotides. The record is from Rfam. NCBI's taxonomy places the organism in Eukaryota, Metazoa, Chordata, Mammalia, Chiroptera, Vespertilionidae.
GGUGGUUCUUAGGUUAUGCACCCUGGAACCUGGUUCCCUCCUUUAUGGUUCUGGGUGCAUCACCUGAGAAUCACA